Long non-coding RNA from Wasmannia auropunctata (little fire ant), 1913 nucleotides. RefSeq lists it as uncharacterized. The transcript is spliced from 2 exons. Lineage: Eukaryota; Metazoa; Arthropoda; Insecta; Hymenoptera; Formicidae. The record is from RefSeq and is a predicted model, not a curated record.
CAAUUCGGGGUAGUGGCGAUGCAAUCGCUACAAAAUUAUUUUGAUUUCCGUGCAACAAAAUUAUUUUCAGAUCCAGUUUUGACCUUCCAGCAAAAUCGUUCUUUCCGUGUGCAGACGCGAGCUGUCGGAUUGACUUGAAAAUUUCGCGUUUGUGGCGAAUCAUGAAAAUUGUAAUUACCCAGGGAAGUAUAGCAACGAGUACGUCCGCAAAAUAAAGGUGUGCCGUAAAUGGAACAUCAAAUAUUUCUUCGCGCGUAAUGCGGCAUGAAGCCACAUCCGGUCAACGGAAAAUGCGAUGCUGAUGACUUCUCUCGCAUUAAACUUGCGGCGCUAUCGCACAAUUAAGCCUCUCUCAUAAAAUCCGCCGUUCCUUAAAAGCGAAGUCGCAACAACAGCAACUAUGCGAGUCGCAGCAAUCGGGAUACUCUGUUGAUAGCUUUUUGGACGGAACGGGUUUGAUCGCUCCGAAAGCGAUUAAUGUCAUCCUGUUUAUAUAAUGUUUUCGUAUAUGACGUCAUUAAUCGCUCUUGGAGCGAUCAAACUCGCUCCGUCCGAAAACACUAUCAAGAUUUCAGAGCAAGAACGGGAAUAAAUUCAUUAACGAGGUUACGCUUUGAAUAUAAGCUGGUCGUCUGUAGGAUUUCACGUACGGGACAGUCACUUUAUUCUCAGCCUGAACUUUGUACGUAUAACUUUGUAAUAUUAAACAGUGAUAAUACUUUAUAACUGUUUAAUAUUUUUGGAACUGUUAACCUUGACUUCGUGUAAACGUAAGAUACGUAGAACUUGAUUUAUCCGCAUCGAAUCUUGCAUAAUAUUGUUGACAUCGGCACGUCCCGUUGUACAAAAUACAAACGGAAGACGACAGAGAUGACACAACUGAAAGGUUACACAAUUCUCUUUAGGACAAUAAUGAAUAAUGUAUAAUCGCUUUGUGUCUUUUCUUUCCUUUUUUUUUGUACUGUACAUUUGUCCGCGCAAAUGCAUGCGCAUACCCAAUGAAACGCAUUCUUCUUAGCUUUUUCAAUGAAAAAUUGCUGAUGUUUCAUCAUCGUGAUUAAUCACAACUGGCCGAGGAGAAUUAAGAAACGUGUAUUGCGUGGAUCUUUUUCCAUUCAUCAAAGUGUUAUAAGAGAUCCCGCGUUUCGCAUCGUGAAUUCCAAUUUUUACGGGAUAUCACCUUGAAGCGGUUCGGCACCGAGAGCGCCGCGCUCGUAUACCGUAUUCGUGUCACGGUCACGGAGAGAUUGCUUCGCGGGAUUCAGGACCAGUUUUGAGCCAUAAGACUUGCUCUUGGAGUGCAGAAAACACAAAAUAAUUCUGUGUAAAAAUAGUCCAAGAUCGUCACGUGCAACAGAUCUCUUAAAUUGAAUAAUCGCGGAGAAAAGUGUCUGCAGCAGCAAUUAAAAGCAGCAAUUACGCAGAAAUUAUGCUCGUUACUUGUUCAACCAGUUUCCUGGAUCCAGAGAAAGAUAAUCGAGAAAGGCGAGUGAAAAAAAGUCCCGUACGUUUUUGUCGGAGAGGCCAAUUGGAGGAAUUCUUAAGAAAGUAGCUGGGAAACGCGAGCGGUUUGCGAUAAAACGCACCGUUAAAACGGUUCAUAAACGUGGGAUCGCAUCGCUCUAAUAAUUCAUUCCAUAUAUAAUAAAUACUCGACCGGCUGAAAUGACAAUUUAAUUCGCAAUUCAAGGAUAACUUGUAAAAAAGAACUUGUUGUUGUGCUUUUUGCAACUCCUUUGUCUUUUUUUCUCGUUUUUUCUCGCUAGAAACGAGCGAUAAAGUUGCAUAUCAUCUUCAAUUCUGCUAAUCAUCUGGUGUGUACAGAUGUAAACACUUUUUGUAUCUCUAAUGCGUAAUACAUAAUGAUUGAAUCGCUUGAUUUAUUAAAAAAGUCUAUUAGAAUAUUCACAGAU